UACAGAGGUCUCAAGCGUUGUUCGGAAUCACUGGGCGUAAAGGGUGCGUAGGCCGCGCGGUAAGUCAGAUGUGAAAGCCCGGAGCUCAACUCCGGAACUGCAUCCGAUACUGCCGUGCUUGAGGACUGGAGAGGAGUCUGGAAUUCACAGUGGAGCAGUGAAAUGCGUAGAUAUUGUGAGGAACACUAGUGGCGAAGGCGAGACUCUGGACAGUUCCUGACGCUGAGGCACGAAGGCCAGGGGAGCAAACGGG
Molecule: ribosomal RNA, 253 nt
Filed under: uncultured bacterium
Lineage: Bacteria
Description: partial 16S ribosomal RNA
Rfam family: Bacterial small subunit ribosomal RNA
Source: RNAcentral